RNAcentral lists this unclassified non-coding RNA (329 nucleotides) under soil metagenome. RNAcentral's name for it is "partial contains 5.8S ribosomal RNA, internal transcribed spacer 2, and large subunit ribosomal RNA". The stretch from base 1 to 120 matches the Rfam family "5.8S ribosomal RNA", at positions 35 to 154 of the family's 154-position model. The record is from RNAcentral.
GAUGAAGAACGUAGCGAAAUGCGAUAAGUAAUGUGAAUUGCAGAAUUCAGUGAAUCAUCGAAUCUUUGAACGCACAUUGCGCCCCUUGGUAUUCCGGGGGGCAUGCCUGUUCGAGCGUCAUUACAACCCUCAAGCUCUGCUUGGUCUUGGGCGUCACCGGUCCCCGGUGUGCCUUAAAAUCAGUGGCGGCGCCAUCUGGCUCUAAGCGUAGUACAUACUCUCGCUACAGACGUCCGGUGGAUGCUGGCCAACAACCCCCAAUUUAUCAAGGUUGACCUCGGAUCAGGUAGGGAUACCCGCUGAACUUAAGCAUAUCAAUAAGCGGAGGA